UUCGUAGCUGGUCUGUUAAGUCUCUGGGGAAAUCUACUGGCUUAACCAAUAGGCGUCUCAGGGAUACUGGCAGACUAGGGACCGGGAGAGGUGAGAGGUACUCCAGGGGUAGGAGUGAAAUCCUGUAAUCCUUGGGGGACCACCUGUGGCGAAGGCGUCUCACCAGAACGGCUCCGACAGUGAGGGACGAAAGCUGGGGGAGCAAACC
RNAcentral lists this ribosomal RNA (208 nucleotides) under uncultured euryarchaeote. Its description in RNAcentral is "partial 16S ribosomal RNA". It matches the Rfam family "Archaeal small subunit ribosomal RNA", at positions 518 to 725 of the family's 1478-position model. Lineage: Archaea; Methanobacteriati; Methanobacteriota. The record is from RNAcentral.